GUUCUGGAUUAUGGCUCAGGGGGAUUGAACGCUGGCGGGAUGCUUUACACAUGCAAGUCGAACGGCAGCACGGACUUCGGUCUGGGUGGCGAGUAAGAACGCGAGUAAUGUAUCGGAACGUGCCUAGUAGCGGGGAUAACUACGCGAAAGCGUAGCUAAUACCGCAUACGCUCCUUCGGGGGAAAGCGGGGACCUCGGGCCUCGCACUAUUAGAGCGGCCGAUAUCGGAUUAGCUAGUUGGUGGGGUAACGUCACCAAGGCGGGACGAUCCGUAGCUGGUUUGAGAGGACGACCAGCCACACUGGGACUGGAGAUUAUGGCCCAGACUCCAUGAGGCAGUGGGGAAUUUUGGACAAUGGGGAAACCCCAGAUCCAGCCAUCCCGCGUGUGUGCGAUGAAGUGGCCUUGCCGUAAGCACCGGCAGGAAAGAAACGGCAUCGGGAUACCCCGUGCAACUGACGGUACCGGCAGAAGCUGGCACCACAACUACAGCCAGCAGCCGCGGUAAUACGUGUGGUAGGGCAAGUGCAAGCGUUAAUCGGAAUUACUGGCGUAAAGCGUGCGCAGGCGGUUGGAAAAGAAAGAUGUGAAUCCAGAGCUUAACUUUGAACUGCAUGAACCGUCGAGCUGGAGUGUCAGAGGGAGGGACCUGCGCAGUGAAAUGCAGAUAUGCGGAGGGAACACCUGAUAGCGAAGGCGUCUUAGAUAAUGCACUGAUUAUAACGAAAGUGGGGAGCAAACAGAGCGAUAUCCAGAAACCAUCGCCUCAAAACGAUGCAGUCAACUAUUGCUGGUGUGUCUGGGGCCUUGUAGUGGUUAAUGUGGUGAAGUUAAUCGCCUGGGGAGCACUGGCGUUCGCAAGAUUGCAAAACUCAAAGGAAUUGACGGGGACCCGCACAAGCGGUGGAUGAUGGAUUUAAAUUGAUGCAACGCGAAAAACCUUACCUAAUUCCUUAUUAUUGCCCGGAAUCCUCGAAGAUUUGGGAGUGCUCGCAAGAGAACCGGAACACAGGUGCUGCAUGGCUGUCGUCAGCUCGUGUCGUGAGAUGUUGGGCGUUGUCCCCGCAACGAGCGCAACCCGCCGCUGAAGCUACGCUGAAAGGGCACUGCACGAGACCGCUGGCAAACCGGAGGGGAAGGUGGGGAUGACGUCGUCCAUGGCCCUGGCGGUAGGGCUUCACACGUCAUACAAUGGUCGGGACAGAGGGCUCAACCCGCGAGGGGGAGCCAAUCCCAGAAACCUUCCGAUCAGUCCGGAUCGUGAGUCUGCAAUCUCCGACUGGCAGUCGAACGCUGGCAAUCGUGACCAUGUCGCGGUGAAUACGUUCCCGGGCUCCAGAAGACACCGCCCGUCACACCAUGUAGAGGGGUUUUACCAGCGGAAGGCCUUAACGUGUGAGUGGCGAUUACCACGGUAGGAUUCAUGACUGGGGUGAAGUCGUAACAAGCGUAA
RNAcentral lists this ribosomal RNA (1453 nucleotides) under uncultured Bordetella sp. Its description in RNAcentral is "partial 16S-23S ribosomal RNA intergenic spacer". It matches the Rfam family "Bacterial small subunit ribosomal RNA". Lineage: Bacteria; Pseudomonadati; Pseudomonadota; Betaproteobacteria; Burkholderiales; Alcaligenaceae. The record is from RNAcentral.